Molecule: ribosomal RNA, 446 nt
Filed under: uncultured bacterium
Lineage: Bacteria
Description: partial 16S ribosomal RNA
Rfam family: Bacterial small subunit ribosomal RNA
Source: RNAcentral
CCUACGGGAGGCAGCAGUCGAGAAUCAUUCACAAUGGGGGAAACCCUGAUGCUGCGACGCCGCGUGGGGGAAUGAAGGCCUUCGGAUGGUAAACCCCUGUCAUGUGGGAGCAAAUUAUAAAGAUAGUACCACAAGAGGAAGAGACGGCUAACUCUGUGCCAGCAGCCGCGGUAAUACGGAGGUCGCAGGCGUUGUUCGGAAGCACUGGGCGUAAAGCGUGCGUAGGCUGUUUCGCAAGUCGGGUGUGAAAGGCGCGGGCUCAACCCGCGAACGGCAGAUGAUACUGCGAGACUAGAGUAAUGGAGGGGGAGGCGGAAUUCUAGGUGUAGCAGUGAAAUGCGUAGAUAUCGAGAGGAACACUCGUGGCGAAGGCGGGUUCCUGGACAUUAACUGACGCUGAGGCACGAAGGCGAGGGGAGCGAACGGGAUUAGAUACCCCGGUAGUC